UUUAACGAGAGUUUGAACCUGGCUCAGGAUGAACGCUGGCGGCGUGCCUAACACAUGCAAGUCGAGCGAAGCACUUUACUUUGAUUCUUCGGAUGAAGAGUUUAGUGACUGAGCGGCGGACGGGUGAGUAACGCGUGGGUAACCUGCCUCACACAGGGGGAUAACAGUUAGAAAUGACUGCUAAUACCGCAUAAGACCACAGCACCGCAUGGUGCAGGGGUAAAAACUCCGGUGGUGUGAGAUGGACCCGCGUCUGAUUAGGUAGUUGGUGGGGUAACGGCCCACCAAGCCGACGAUCAGUAGCCGACCUGAGAGGGUGACCGGCCACAUUGGGACUGAGACACGGCCCAAACUCCUA
Molecule: ribosomal RNA, 358 nt
Filed under: Candidatus Mediterraneibacter faecavium
Lineage: Bacteria; Bacillati; Bacillota; Clostridia; Lachnospirales; Lachnospiraceae
Description: bacterial SSU rRNA
Rfam family: Bacterial small subunit ribosomal RNA
Source: RNAcentral